Molecule: ribosomal RNA, 755 nt
Filed under: uncultured Bacteroidales bacterium
Lineage: Bacteria; Pseudomonadati; Bacteroidota; Bacteroidia; Bacteroidales
Description: bacterial SSU rRNA
Rfam family: Bacterial small subunit ribosomal RNA
Source: RNAcentral
GAUGAACGCUAGCUACAGGCUUAACACAUGCAAGUCGAGGGGCAGCAUGGUCUUAGCUUGCUAAGGCCGAUGGCGACCGGCGCACGGGUGAGUAACACGUAUCCAACCUGCCGUCUACUCUUGGACAGCCUUCUGAAAGGAAGAUUAAUACAAGAUGGCAUCAUGAGUCCGCAUGUUCACAUGAUUAAAGGUAUUCCGGUAGACGAUGGGGAUGCGUUCCAUUAGAUAGUAGGCGGGGUAACGGCCCACCUAGUCUUCGAUGGAUAGGGGUUCUGAGAGGAAGGUCCCCCACAUUGGAACUGAGACACGGUCCAAACUCCUACGGGAGGCAGCAGUGAGGAAUAUUGGUCAAUGGGCGAGAGCCUGAACCAGCCAAGUAGCGUGAAGGAUGACUGCCCUAUGGGUUGUAAACUUCUUUUAUAAAGGAAUAAAGUCGGGUAUGUAUACCCGUUUGCAUGUACUUUAUGAAUAAGGAUCGGCUAACUCCGUGCCAGCAGCCGCGGUAAUACGGAGGAUCCGAGCGUUAUCCGGAUUUAUUGGGUUUAAAGGGAGCGUAGAUGGAUGUUUAAGUCAGUUGUGAAAGUUUGCGGCUCAACCGUAAAAUUGCAGUUGAUACUGGAUAUCUUGAGUGCAGUUGAGGCAGGCGGAAUUCGUGGUGUAGCGGUGAAAUGCUUAGAUAUCACGAAGAACUCCGAUUGCGAAGGCAGCCUGCUAAGCUGCAACUGACAUUGAGGCUCGAAAGUGUGGGUAUCAAA